Non-coding RNA from Callithrix jacchus (white-tufted-ear marmoset), 5036 nucleotides. Lineage: Eukaryota; Metazoa; Chordata; Mammalia; Primates; Cebidae. The record is from RefSeq and is a predicted model, not a curated record.
CCGUCUCAAAAAAAGAAAACAAAAAAAAAAUUAUGCUUGUCCUUAAAAUUAUGUGCAGAAGUUUACUGAAAAGUACAAGUUACUAUUUUUGCUUCUGAAGCACUCCUCAAGGUAAACCCUGUUAGUUUAACAGGUAACCUUAAAAUGCUUGACACAUACUUGUUGAAUGAGUAAGUGCCCUCGGUGAAUUUCCUUUGCCUGUACAAUCAUAUGUCUGUACCUUUUUAACAGUACACUUGUAUCAUUUAACAGCUGCGUGCGUGGUAUGGUACUCUAUCUGAUGGUUGUACUUAACCGCCCUGCUAUUAAUAGACACUCAUGUUGUUUAUAUUUUUUGGUUAUUAUAAACAUUGUUGCUGGGGGGAUCAUUGAACAACACACGGAGUGUCUGAUUCAAGCCUUGAGUUGUUUUUCCGGGAGCUGAGAAUCAGUGUGGUGAUGUCUAAAGAGCAUGAGCUUGGAAUCUGAAGGUACUGGCUAGGGAGAAGAGCUGCUCAUGUGCUCCUGCUAAUAGAAAAGUCCCCCUUGGUCUGGAAGGUUGGGGCCAUCCUCUGACUCAGCAGCUUUAGGAAUUAUAGGGUGAGAAGGAAGUCACCCAGCCCUGACCAGCCAGCGAGGCAGUAGGUCCUCCCAGCUCAUCUUCACAGCCUUGGCUGGAGUCAGGAAGACUGGUUUCAAUGUUAAGAUUGGAAUCCUAGCCUCCAUCCCUUAAAACCUUUGUGAUCUUAGAUAAGUCACAUCAUACUAUCUCAGAGCCCCUGUUUCCUCACAGAACGGUUGUUUUAGAGGUAUGUUCGUAAAUUACCUGGCACAUGUAGGCAUGAGACUGACCGUAACCAAUGUUACUCAAGGUCAUUUUGCACUGACUCAUUCAUACUUUGAGCCAUUUCCUAUUAUAGACUAUAGCACACAUUUCCAACUUCCUAAUAGGGCUGCAGGGUAUUUUUGGGAAAUAAAUCAAAAUUGACCAUUAAAACCAGAUUCCUGACUUUGCCUGGAUAUGCCAUCUGGAAAGCAAUCAGCAUGAAUUCUUCAUUUAUUUGGUAACUGUUUAAUGAGUGCUUAUGUGCCACAGAUUGCAGAGGCCUUUUCCCUCCAGUUUACAGCCUUAUCAGUUAAGACAUACUCAUGAGGAAAUUGAAAAUAUAGGACAAUGCAGAUAGAAAGCUGUCAAAUACACAGUCUAGACUUCAGAGGAGGAAAGCUAUCACUUUUAGCUGUAAUGAUGGGGAGAAGAUUUCAUCAUAAAGAUUUCAUGAUGGCACUGGAAUAUGAGAGCUUUGAGUGUCUAUUUUUAGACAGCUGCUGUCACAGCCUAUGAGAAUCCUCAAUUUUGGCUCGGAAGGGGAAAUCCCUGCAGGUCAGGGUUAUGUGCCUGGCAUCUCCAAAUGAAUCAGCACAUUUUCCUCCAGAAUCAUUGUUACAGAUUUAUUUAAACUGCAGUUGGAUGGUGAGUUAUGUUAAACUGUCUCUCUCCUUCUCACCAUAUAGGUAUGUAAACUUUUGUGACCUAAAGUAUCACUGUGUCCUGUGAUUGGAAACUGUUUCACCGCUCUGAACAGGUAACUUAGAGAUGAACUUUUAUACCACCACCUGUGUGCACGUUAGAAACUAUUAACAAUGAGGAGGCAUUGAAAGUUUUUGAGCAGAGAAGCAAUCUCAAAAUACUAUUUUAGCGAAGUAAUCUAACAGGAGUAUGCAGGAUGGAUUUCAGCUGCAGAGCUUUAAAGGUUAUUGCUGAAGCCUGGGUGUAAGGUAACAACGGACAGAUGCAAAAGGCAAUACGCAAACAGUAUAACCAGACAAAGCAGAUUCAAAAAAGAAAUCAUGUAAUUUACCUGGUAACUAAAUUCAUCCCUUAAUUCAGUAAAUAUUUGCACAGUUACUGUGCUGGACCUGGAGGCUGUAACAUGAACAAAACCAAGCUCCUGUCCUCAUGGCAUUUACAGUUUAGUGGCGGAACAAGUCAUUCAUUUGACAAAUAUUUGAUGACCUACUGCAUGCCAGACAUUGAUCUAGGAGCUGAGGAUUCAGCAGUAAGUAACAUUUUAAAAUGUUAAAAGCUUUCUUAGCACUUCCAUUCUGAUGGGGAAUAUAGGCAACAAGUAUGUCCAAGGAGAAAACUAAAGCAGGACACACUGAGGUUUGCAGAAGCAGACAGUGAAGCCAUGGGGGCGGCAGGAGGUUUGACGGUGAAUUAAAAGAGAAACGGUGAAACUGAUGAACUAUUUUUCAGGAUAGUGGAAGUAGAGGAUUAGCAGCCAGGGAAUAAUAAUGAGUGAAUAUUCAGAGGGAGGAUGGCUAAGUGCACUUCAAAGAGCUUAACUCUUGACAACAGCUGGGAAGUAAGGUGUCACCAACUGGAAGGCAAAGUGGGUAAAGGAGAGGGGGACCUCAAGGGCAGUAGUCAGGGAUGAAGGUCAGUGCAGCGGAGGUUGCAGGGACCCGUGAAAUCCAGAUUUCGGUCAGCAACAUGGAUUUCAAAGCUGCUAAGUGCUAGGUGGCAAGGGAGGGAAAGUGUGCUGUGAUCACCCAGGAAGGUAGCAGUAGGUGGUGAAUCAGAAUUCAGAGAAGGCAGGUAAACUGACCAACGGACCUUAAAUUAGGAGCCAGAUGGGGUACCACUCAGCAUACUGAUCCAAGAGGGAAGGAGAGGCUACAGCGCCUGAUCUCUGAUGGAAGUGGAAACGCGCCCUUUCCCCCACAACUGCAAGCCUGAUGCCACACCAAGAGACUUGGCAAUGGGCCUUGUACUGCCCUUAUGUGGCCCCCAGAAAUCUAAUGAACACAAGUUCCAUGAUUCCAGGGACCAUAUCUUCAUCUUCGUGUCCUCUGGAGGCCCAGUACAUGCUGAUCGACGGAGGGGAACACAUUCGCAGACAGCCUGAUGGACACAUGCCCUUGGCAGCUGGGAGGAUGCUGCUGACCAUCUGAAUCCCAGAGGCAGAGAACAGUUACCAUGGCUACUAAAAGUUGUAGCCAUUGGCUGUUUUGGCUACGAGGACUCAGCUGACCUCUCAAGGUCCCUUCCAGCCCUGGGAUUCUACAAUUACCUCGAGCCAGCUGACACCAUGUCUGCUGCAAGAAAACAGGACUCAGAAGUACCUUAGAGGUCACCUUGUCUUACUCAUCAGAAGUGUUGCAUCACAAGCCUACUUUCUACCAUGGCUGCAUUAUUAAUAACCAAAGUCUUGCUUUUUUUGGCAUAGCAUUUUUAUACCUUUCCUAAAGUGAGUUUGCAUCACUUUUUAUUUCCUUUUACAGCUCAGGCCAGUAAUUGUGACAGAGGUUUGUCCUGUAUUGUGGCCAGGGAACAGACCAGAAAAACUUGCGUCACUAGCCCCAGUAGGGUGUGUGCCAUCAGACAGAAUGCGUGUGUCAGGAGCCUUCUAAGAAUCAGGAGGAAGGAAGUCAUUCAUAAAGGAGGCAGAUGCUGAAAUGCAACUUUGGUUUCCUCUUGCAAGUCCUUCAACUAUAGGAAUGUGGCUCUUUCUUAUUCACAUAGGGGCUGGAUUUCUCUUUACAACCUGAGUACCAGAAGCUCCCUACCUUUACAAAGUCAGAACAGAACAGGAAAGCGGCUAAUUCAACCUUUUCAUUGUCCACACCAAGGGAGAUCACAGGCCUGGCUGCAUGUCUCUCAAAACUCCACCUCAGGACAGAGAAGUCUGGAGAGAUUGCUAAGACUUCUGAAAGCAGGGGAAGAGGGAUGCCCAAAACUCAGAGAACUGUGAAUACUUACAAAAACAGCUGCAAACCUUCCCUUAUUCCUGAUGCAGGAAGCUUCAUAUUUAAUGGCUGGAGAUUUUUAAAAAUCUGCUUCUAUCAAGAUUAAAUCAAAGCCUUUAUUCAACAUUCCUCUUUCAAACAGCCUGCACGUAAACCUAUACCCCUUCCUGGACUUGGGAACUGCCAGACUUGUGGAUCAUUUUCAUCUGACGGGUCAGAUCCAACCAGGCCUCACAAUAUUGAAAAGCCAAGCCAAGACACACCACACUGGGCAGACGUCCGCCAUCUGUGCCCCACUCAAGACCUAGGCAAAAGGUUGGUAGUGCCAGCUCUCAAACCAGAGCUCAAGCACAGAAGAGGAACCCGAAGUCUGACCCUGCUAUUCUAGCUCCAGACCUAGCCAUGCUAAACUGGACAGACAGUUCCUGGGCUGCCAUUCGCUGAGGCGCAUGCGUGUGCUUUUCCUUCUCUUCUCCACAGGAAAAGGUAAGAGAUGGAGGAGGCAAUUUUCAGUUGUGUGUGGGUUUGAUUUAAGGCUUUGGCUGUGGUCUGCUGAUAUAUUAAAAUACUUUCUGGGAACGCCAUCUUCCAAGCUCCCCAUUGGAACAAAUGUAUUUUCAAAAAUGAAAACAUUGAGCAAAGAUGUGGAGCGGCAAUGCUGCAGGCCCGGGCCCUCAUGUCAGGAUGGUGUCGUCCACCUGCUCCGUGGAGUCGGCCUGGCUGGCCAGCUUCUUCAGGGACCUUCGGUUAACCUCGUUCAGCAACUCCAAACUGGCCACAUCCAGGAUCUUGGAGAGGGACUACAGGGAAGGAUGAGCAGGAGGAAACAUGGUCAGAAAAUAUAGCUGCCACAUUCUCCAAUCAGAGAAAGACAAAAAUGAACGUUAACCCCAGAACUAGACACUGAGGUGGAAUUUGGCAAAAUAAGGGAAUCAGAUGGAUCCAGGGAAAGCCUGUGAAAACACUCAUCAUGCUUUUGCUUUUCCCUUUUUUGUAGAGACAAGGUCUCACUAUGUUGCCCCAGCUGGUCCUGAACUCCUGGGCUCCAGUGAUCCUCCCACCUCUGCUUCCCAAAGUAUUGGGAUUACAGGUUAGAGUCACUUUACCCGGCCCCAUCCUGCUCUUCAUGAGACGUGGCAGUGCGAAUUGCAGCUUUUGGGCUUUCAAGGCUGCUAGGGGCUGGGGACUUAGUGAAAAGGCCUCUGGGUUUCCAUUGGGCAGCUCUCCUUGGAAAUGCUCCAUCUGUUUGGAUGUCAUGUGAGAUUUUAUUUGAAUAAAGGGCCCUGCUCUGGAAAAAAGUCUGAAAA